GUCUAUGGCCAUGCCACCCUGAACAUCCCCGAUCUCGUCUGACCUCAGAAGCUAAGCAGGGUCAGGCCUGGUUAGUACUUGGAUGGGAGAUCACCUAGGAAUACCAGGUGCUAUAGGCA
This 119-nucleotide ribosomal RNA is filed under the name Pteropus alecto (black flying fox). Lineage: Eukaryota; Metazoa; Chordata; Mammalia; Chiroptera; Pteropodidae. The record is from RNAcentral.